GCAAAUAACACUAUCAUUUGAGCAUCCGUAGGAACGAAAAACAGACUAAGACACGGAAACAGCUAUAAAGUUUAGUCAUUCAAUCAAUACAUGGAAAACAUUGAAACGCACGUAAAUGGUCUUGUCGACAAUGUGGGCAAUCUCAAGAAAGAAGUUUGUAAUGUCAAAUUUAAAACCGAUUUGAAUAACUUGAAUUUACCUGAAAUACCGAAAAUGAAUGGAUUGUUAGACGAGCAAUCGUCAAAGAUUGAAGAAUUGCUUAAAGAAAUCGUUCAAGGAGAGAAAAAAUUCAAUGGAAGAAUUGACGAAUUGACUGCAAGCAAUAACCAAUUGAGGGCAGAGAAUAACAGAAUUACGAAAAGGUUAGAAGAAAUGCAAAGGCAAAUUGACGACUUGAGUGCAGACAAUGAAAAAUUAAAUGCAAGAAUUAACCAAGCGUUGGCAGGCAAUGAAAAACUCAAGGCUAGAAAAUAACGCAUUUAAAUAAAUGUUUGAAAAUAUGCAAAGGCAAUUAACGAAAUGAGCCAGAACAAUUCAACUUGAUUCAAUAAUACUUUGGGCUUUCAUGCUCGAACAAUCUAUUCACACUUUUUAAAGCAGAUUUUAGACACCAAACUUAUGUUACUUGACGUCUGAAAAGCACUUGAUAUCUAUCUAUAGCAUCAUUUACGAUAUAAUGUUUUUAAAAAUAUGGCUAGUUACGCCGGUAAUUGUAAUUUUACUCGUAGAUAUAAACAUUGCUUAGCUUAAUAACUUCAUUUACACUUGUAAUAAUUUGUAUAAAAAUAAAUAAAGGAAUAGCUAUACACAGUA
Molecule: long non-coding RNA, 813 nt
Organism: Xenia sp. Carnegie-2017
Lineage: Eukaryota; Metazoa; Cnidaria; Anthozoa; Malacalcyonacea; Xeniidae
Exons: 2
Source: RefSeq, a predicted model, not a curated record